CGGGGGGCAGCAGUGGGGAAUUUUGGACAAUGGGCGCAAGCCUGAUCCAGCAAUGCCGCGUGCAGGAUGAAGGCCUUCGGGUUGUAAACUGCUUUUGUACGGAACGAAACGGCUCUUUCUAAUAAAGAGGGCUAAUGACGGUACCGUAAGAAUAAGCACCGGCUAACUACGUGCCAGCAGCCGCGGUAAUACGUAGGGUGCGAGCGUUAAUCGGAAUUACUGGGCGUAAAGCGUGCGCAGGCGGUUAUAUAAGACAGAUGUGAAAUCCCCGGGCUCAACCUGGGACCUGCAUUUGUGACUGUAUAGCUAGAGUACGGUAGAGGGGGAUGGAAUUCCGCGUGUAGCAGUGAAAUGCGUAGAUAUGCGGAGGAACACCGAUGGCGAAGGCAAUCCCCUGGACCUGUACUGACGCUCAUGCACGAAAGCGUGGGGAGCAAACAGGAUUAGAUACCCGAGU
This 457-nucleotide ribosomal RNA is filed under the name uncultured Comamonadaceae bacterium. Its description in RNAcentral is "bacterial SSU rRNA". It matches the Rfam family "Bacterial small subunit ribosomal RNA", at positions 342 to 791 of the family's 1533-position model. Lineage: Bacteria; Pseudomonadati; Pseudomonadota; Betaproteobacteria; Burkholderiales; Comamonadaceae. The record is from RNAcentral.